RNAcentral lists this ribosomal RNA (499 nucleotides) under uncultured bacterium. RNAcentral describes it as "partial 16S ribosomal RNA". It matches the Rfam family "Bacterial small subunit ribosomal RNA", at positions 28 to 507 of the family's 1533-position model. The record is from RNAcentral.
GACGAACGCUGGCGGCGUGCUUAACACAUGCAAGUCGAACGGGCCCGCUCCCUUUUUUGGGGGUGGGUUGAGUGGCGAACGGGUGAGUAUCACGUGAGUAACCUGCCCCCUGCUCCUGGAUAACUGCUUGAAAGGGCGGCUAAUACGGGGUGUGCCGGCUGGUCCGCAUGGGCCUGGUCGGGAUAGUUUCAUCUUCGGGUGUUUCGGUGGGGGAUGGGCUCGCGGCCUAUCAGCUUGUUGGUGGGGUGAUGGCCCACCAAGGCGGUGACGGGUAGCCGGCCUGAGAGGGUGGGCGGCCACACUGGGACUGAGACAUGGCCCAGACUCCUGCGGGAGGCAGCAGUGGGGGGUAUUGCACAAUGGGCGGAAGCCUGAUGCAGCGACGUCGCGUGAGGGAUGGAGGCCUUCGGGUGGGGAACCUCUUUCUCCGGUGGUGAAGGCCCUGUCCGUUGCGGCGGGGUUGACGGUAGCCGGGUAUGAAGCGCCGGCUAACUACGUG